GUAUCUUUGGGGAAUGAGAAUAUGUGUUUGAGCCUCUAUGUGUAUGUUCACUCUCUCACGGAACAAUGGAACAUCUUUAAGAAUGAUGGAGAUGGAUUUCAAUGAGAAAGUACUAUGCCUAAUCUGAGGCAGAAUUAUUUAUCUGCAAAGAAAUCCUCUGCAGAAAAACAAAGUAAUGGGGUCCAUGAUGGUGAGAAAGAGGCUA
Non-coding RNA from Peromyscus maniculatus bairdii (prairie deer mouse), 205 nucleotides. The record is from RefSeq and is a predicted model, not a curated record. NCBI's taxonomy places the organism in Eukaryota, Metazoa, Chordata, Mammalia, Rodentia, Cricetidae.